Medicago truncatula (barrel medic) is the source of this 807-nucleotide long non-coding RNA. RefSeq lists it as uncharacterized. The transcript has 2 exons. NCBI's taxonomy places the organism in Eukaryota, Viridiplantae, Streptophyta, Magnoliopsida, Fabales, Fabaceae. The record is from RefSeq and is a predicted model, not a curated record.
CAGUCGCAAUGUAAUAUCUACGACGGUUCAUGCGAACUUUUUUCAGAACAGCUGCAUCAUUUUUUACUUAUACAUUGUUUUUACUAAUCAUAUCAUAUAUCGUAUAGCUUCCUCCUUCUCCUUUGUUAUGCUUGCGCGCACAGAUCUAGAUCUAACGUUUCAUUCUCAUUAUCAAAAAUCUCCCAAAUCUAAAAAAAAAAGUAAAAAAUCCCCCAUAUAUCGUAGAGAAAACCCCAAAAUUUCCCUCUCAUUCACAAAACCCCCAAAUCCCUAAUCUCACAAACCCUUUGAAUCCAUGAAACACGGUUCAAGGUGAGAUUGAGAUUCAACCAAAUGAUCUAGAUCUAAACGAGUUCGGGGCUUCAAACUAUUCAUGGUCAAAGGUAUAUUCUCUUGCAAUCUCAUCACGCCCAAGGUUUAGGGUUUGCAAGAACUUGGCUACGGCGGAACUUUCGGUUAUCCAUAGUUACUUAUAUUUGUGUUCCUGCUGCAAGAAGUGUUUAAUUUAGAUCGAUGGUAGUCUGAAUAUCCUUUUGGGUAGCAAAGGUAAGUGUCAAAUUAGCCUUUCAUCCUUUUUUCUAUAUGAAAACAAUUUGACUUUUUUUUUAGUUGAAUAGAUUAAACAUAAGUACUUCUAGCUACGACUAAUGGAGCAACAUGACUAAAGGGAUGCCUAGAUAUUUGUAUUGGGUUUUAAUUAUGAUACAAUUGUUUUGAACGUCUAGCCAUUAGUAUUGUACUUUAUCUGUUGUUUUGAUUGUUAAUAUUGAAAGAAUUAUAUUUAUGGGAUUUAGAUAUUUUUAGUUA